Molecule: ribosomal RNA, 473 nt
Filed under: uncultured bacterium
Lineage: Bacteria
Description: SSU rRNA
Rfam family: Bacterial small subunit ribosomal RNA
Source: RNAcentral
AGGAUGAACGCUGGCGGCGUGCCUAACACAUGCAAGUCGAACGUCCUGUCUCGCAAGAGGCAGGGAGUAGCGGACGGGUGAGUACCACGUGGGUCAUCUACCGUGAGGUGAGGAAUACCGGCGAGAAAUCGCCGACAAGACCGCAUAGGCUCGAUGCAAGUCGAGCAAAGCUCUUUCGAGAGAGGGAGCGCCACACGAGGAGCCUGCGCCCGAUUAGCUAGCUGGUGGAGUAAUGGUUCACCAGGGCGACGAUCGGUAGCUGGUCUGAGAGGACGAUCAGCCACACUGGGAUUGAGAACGGCCCAGACUCCUACGGGGGCAGCAGUGAGGAAUUUCGCCAAUGGGGCAACCCUGAACGAGCAACGCCGCGUGCAGGAAGAAGGUUUUCGGAUCGUAAACUGCUUUUCUCGGGGAAGAGAACGGACGGUACCCGAGGAAUCAGCCCCGGCUAACUACGUGCCAGCAGCCGCGGU